This 322-nucleotide ribosomal RNA is filed under the name uncultured eukaryote. RNAcentral's name for it is "partial 18S ribosomal RNA". It matches the Rfam family "Eukaryotic small subunit ribosomal RNA", at positions 1470 to 1796 of the family's 1831-position model. The record is from RNAcentral.
CCCUUAGAUGUUCUGGGCCGCACGCGCGCUACACUGAUGCAUUCAACAAGUUUUACCUUGGCCGAAAGGCCUGGGCAAUCUUUGAAUGUGCUUCGUGAUAGGGAUAGAUUAUUGCAAUUAUUAAUCUUGAACGAGGAAUUCCUAGUAAACGCCAAUCAUCAAUUGGCAUUGAUUACGUCCCUGCCCUUUGUACACACCGCCCGUCGCACCUACCGAUUGAAUGGUCCGGUGAAGACUCGGGAUUGCGGCCAGUGCCUUUACUGGUGUUGGUUGCAAGAACUUGUCUAAACCUUAUCAUUUAGAGGAAGGUGAAGUCGUANCA